This 496-nucleotide ribosomal RNA is filed under the name uncultured bacterium. RNAcentral's name for it is "partial 16S ribosomal RNA". It matches the Rfam family "Bacterial small subunit ribosomal RNA", at positions 28 to 507 of the family's 1533-position model. The record is from RNAcentral.
GAUGAACGCUGGCGGCGUGCCUAAUACAUGCAAGUCGAGCGAACGGACGAGAAGCUUGCUUCUCUGAUGUUAGCGGCGGACGGGUGAGUAACACGUGGAUAACCUACCUAUAAGACUGGGGUAACUUCGGGAAACCGGAGCUAAUACCGGAUAAUAUUUUGAAUCGCAUGGUUCAAAAGUGAAAGACGGUCUUGCUGUCACUUAUAGAUGGAUCCGCGCUGCAUUAGCUAGUUGGUAAGGUAACGGCUACCAAGGCAACGAUGCAUAGCCGACCUGAGAGGGUGAUCGGCCACACUGGAACUGAGACACGGUCCAGACUCCUACGGGAGGCAGCAGUAGGGAAUCUUCCGCAAUGGGCGAAAGCCUGACGGAGCAACGCCGCGUGAGUGAUGAAGGUCUUCGGAUCGUAAAACUCUGUUAUUAGGGAAGAACAUAUGUGUAAGUAACUGUGCACAUCUUGACGGUACCUAAUCAGAAAGCCACGGCUAACUACGUG